GACGAACGCUGGCGGCGUGCUUAACACAUGCAAGUCGAGCGGUAAGGCCCUUUCGGGGUACGACGAGCGGCGAACGGGUGAGUAACACGUGGGUGACCUGCCCUCCAGCUCUGGGAUAAGCCUGGGAAACCGGGUCUAAUACUGGAUAUGACUCCAUGACGCAUGUUGUGGGGUGGAAAGCCUUGUGCGGCUGAGGAUGGGCCCGCGGCCUAUCAGCUUGUUGGUGGGGUGAUGGCCUACCAAGGCGACGACGGGUAGCCGGCCUGAGAGGGCGACCGGCCACACUGGGACUGAGACACGGCCCAGACUCCUACGGGAGGCAGCAGUGGGGAAUCUUGGACAAUGGGCGCAAGCCUGAUCCAGCCAUGCCGCGUGGAUGAUGAAGGCCCUAGGGUUGUAAAAUCCUUUCGUUGGGGACGAUAAUGACGGUACCCAAAGAAGAAGCUCCGGCUAACUUCGUGCCAGCCGCCGCCGU
RNAcentral lists this ribosomal RNA (475 nucleotides) under uncultured bacterium. RNAcentral describes it as "bacterial SSU rRNA". It matches the Rfam family "Bacterial small subunit ribosomal RNA", at positions 28 to 521 of the family's 1533-position model. The record is from RNAcentral.